RNAcentral lists this ribosomal RNA (729 nucleotides) under uncultured euryarchaeote. Its description in RNAcentral is "bacterial SSU rRNA". It matches the Rfam family "Archaeal small subunit ribosomal RNA", at positions 8 to 737 of the family's 1478-position model. The record is from RNAcentral. Lineage: Archaea; Methanobacteriati; Methanobacteriota.
UUGAUCCUGCCGGAGGCCAUUGCUAUCGGGGUCCGACUUAGCCAUGCUAGUUGCACGGGUUCAGGCCCGUGGCAAACAGCUCAGUAACACGUGGCCAAACUACCCUAUGGACGUGGACACCCUCGGGAAACUGAGGCUAAUCCACGAUACGGCUCCCACGCUGGAAUGCGGGGAGCCGGAAAGGCUCCGGCGCCUUAGGAUGUGGCUGCGGCCGAUUAGGUAGACGGUGGGGUAACGGCCCACCGUGCCGAUAAUCGGUACGGGAUGUGAGAGCAAAUAGCCCGGAGAUGGAAUCUGAGACAAGAUUCCAGGCCCUACGGGGCGCAGCAGGCGCGAAACCUUUACACUGCACGCCAGUGCGAUAAGGGGACCCCGAGUGCGAGGGCAUACAGUCCUCGCUUUUGUACACCGUAAGGAGGUGUACGAAUAAGGGCUGGGCAAGACCGGUGCCAGCCGCCGCGGUAAUACCGGCAGCCCGAGUGAUGGCCGCUGUUAUUGGGCCUAAAGCGUCCGUAGCCGGCCGAACAAGUCUGUCGGGAAAUCCAUCCGCCUAACGGAUGGGCGUCCGGCAGAAACUGUUCGGCUUGGGGCCGGAAGAUCCGAGGGGUACGUCCGGGGUAGGAGUGAAAUCCUGUAAUCCUGGACGGACCGCCGGUGGCGAAAGCGCCUCGGAAGGACGGACCCGACGGUGAGGGACGAAAGCUGGGGUCUCGAACCGGAUUAGAUACC